GACCUUUCAAAUAUCACAAGGUCAAGGUCAUUGUAUACUGUGAAGAUCAAGGUGAAAUUUCAUCAUGACCUGACAUUCACCUUAAAUUGAAAGUCUUGAAUUACUGAUCAUCUUUGCAGUUUAUAGUAGGUUGAUAUCUGUUACCUUUAAAAAGAUAUACACACAAUACUAUACUUUUAAGAAUCAUCCCGUUGUAUUUUUUGAACAGACGGUCGGACAUUUUUGGGCUUAUUGUAAAAGAUGUAGAGCUCGUCGAGAGAAACAAUUUAUACGCUGUAUGUAUGCAGCAAAGUCUUAUCGUUUUCCUAAUAUGUAAGCUUGAAAUUGCAGCGUAAUUUUUUUUUUUUGCACUCGGUGACCUUUGACCUUGGGUGCAUAUUAAGAGUCACAUGAAUUAAAGAUUAUUGGUAAAGGUUCCAAGUCUCCUUGACUUCUGGUUCUCGAAAUAGAAUUUUUCAUAAAUUAUUGAUAAUUUUUAAAGGGAAAUAACUCCUUAUAAGGCUAGUAACAAUUUAAUUGUUUAUGUUUAUAAACAUUGCCAUCUGUUCUUGUACAUGCUACCAUUUUCAAAUCGAUUCUAUCUCUAAUACUUUUAAAGAAAAAUGCAAAUAAAAGAAAUCGCUUCCAUGGGACAUAACUCUCAGAGGGGAUGAUGAAAUCUUACGCAGCCUCAUAUGGUAAUACAUCAUGAUGAGAUCUACCUAUUGUCCAGUUAGGUCAUGAUAUCUUUAAAAACACCGAGGGGGGGAGGGGCGUGUCGAAAAGACAUAAAUAUCACUACAAGGAGCACUUUUGGAUUUUGAAAGACUUGAGGUUUAAUACUAAAUGUAUAAAGCAGCUUUUAAUGCCUGUGUAGUUUCACAGAAUGAUAGCACAUUAUGUAUACCAGUUUCUAUUAAUAAACAGUGAUCACUUAUUCGAAAUUUACAAAUUAGUUGUCUAUAUUCAAAAUUUUGAGAAAGUAGGUAUGGUUCAAAGUUAUAGCUUUUCUUUAUUUUUUUAAAAAGUUGGAGUUUGCUAUUCUCUUGAAAAUUUAAUAUUUUAUCAUUAUAUAAAUUUUGAUAGGAGUUUUCUAAAUUUUGUUUGUAUAUUAGCCUAUUAUAUUUAUCCUUAUUUUGGUUAACAAUUUCUAAAUCAUUUUGACUUCUGACAUGAUUUACAUAUGAGUACCAAGAAUAAAUACCUGUAUUAUGUAAAGUUUUUGCCAAAUUUAGUGUCUCUUUUAGUAAGGGGCUAGUUUCUUCCCUUAAUAGUCUAUCAUGAAAAAGAAGAGUUUGUCUUUUUAUAAAGCAAUCAAUAGGGUAGCUGCCUAAUUUAGAUCGAGCAGCUAUAUUACAAGAGCAUUUUUUUUACUCCUAAAGUUAACUUAUUAAAUUUAUUUAGUACUUUAUCAGGUGGACUUAUGUCAAUGAAAUUAAGAGUAUCUACUUUUUUAUUAUUUUUAUCCGCUUUAAUUGAAGCUUUAUAAAAGGAUGAGUAUGCAUCCAUAUACCAUAUUUCACUGUUAUAAGUUAAUAUUGGUCUAACGAGUGAGUUAAAUAAAUGGUUUGACAAAUUUACAGGAGUCUGUUGAAUCGAAUUACAAUAUGCUUUUAUAGAAUACAUUACUUUCAUAGAUUUUUUGGCUAAUUCUUGUGCUGAAUGAAUAAGAUUUCCAUUGUGACUAAUGAUAUUACCAAGAAAUUUAAACUUUUGCAUUUGCUCUAAUUUGUGACCAUUAUAAUUAAAAGAAUGGUUAAGAUUUUUUCUAUUGUUACUUGUGCUUAAAAUCACAGUUUUAGUUUUUUUACAAUUUACAUUUAACUGCCAUUUAUGACAGUAUUGAGACAAAUGGUUUAAACUUAACUAAAGACCCUCUUUAGUUUCAGACAUUAUGAAAAUAUCAUCAGCAAAUAGGAGGCUUCCAAUAUUUGUCUGUUCUAUUUUAAAGGGAUAACAGUCAUCUUGUUUGAAAAUUUGAGGUAGAUCAUUUAUGAAAAUAUUGAAUAGGGUGGAACUUAAAGAAUCCCCUUAUCGUACCCCUCUAGUUACUUCAAACCAGUUAGUGAGUUUAUCAUUAAUCUUAAUUGAAGAUUUUGUGGUUGAAUACAUAUUUUUUAUUACUUGAUACAUUUUACUGCCAAUACCCUGAGACAAAAUUUUAUAUAAUAAAGCUGUUCUCCAAAUGGAGUCAAAUGCUUUACGUAAGUCAACAAAACAAAUAUAUAAUGGUUUCUGUUUUAAAUUUAAAUAUUUAUUAUAUGAACAAUAAGCAACCCAUAGAUAAAUAAAUAAGACAGCCCUACUUUUACAUAUAUUUGCUGUUUUUUUUUUCAUUGGUAUAUAUUUCAUUGUAUUGCAUGAAAUGGCUGAUGCUUACUUUCACUUUUCUUAAAAUCAUUAUUGAGAAUGAAGAAAAAAAAUAUGUUAGGUAUAUGUCACCAAGACAGCAAGAAAUGUGUCUUCUGGUCAAAUGUGACUCAAUAAAACAAGUGUAUUUUACUCUACAAACUUUGAAAAGUAUUUGUUUAUUUUUUUUUCAGAGAAAAAACGCACCAUCUAUCUGAAGUUCAAAUUGACGUUGUUGAUUCAAAUAAUUGCAGAAUUCUCUUUCCCAAAUUUAACUUAUCGUUAACAUAUUACCUUAUUAAAUCUUGAUAAAACCUUAUAAAUAUCUCCUUUUUAAGCAAUCUUUAAAUUCAUUCCAUUAUUUUUUAUUAUGAAAGAACAGCAACAUAAUUAAUGUUACUCAAAUUCCUGUCAAAAUUUAUAGACAAUGCAUUUCAGUCUUCUUAAUAACAAACCUCUUUUGAUUAUACCCUUGUUUAUUGCAAUCAUGAUUUGAAGAAAAGUGAAAGAAGCUACAGCCAUUUUAUGCAAUACCUUAUCUCAGUAUCAGAAUCUAUGACAAACGAGACGGUUUUAAUUUCGAAAAUAUUUAUCCCCCACCUUAGUAGCAAUAUACCAACUUCACCUGCAUAUAGGAUAUACAUUUCCCAACUUAUUUGAUAUUCAAGAGCUUGCAACACCUACUCAGACUUUGCGGUGAAAGGUCACCAGUAUCUGAUCAGAGAGUUGAUGAAUGGUACUAGUAUGGUUUUUUUUAAAGUUCAUCGGAGGUACCAAUACCUUGUUGAUAAAUAGUCUGUCUUAACUUCACAAAUAAUAAACGAUGGUCUUGAAGUAUAGAUUCAGCGUACUGACGAUGUUUAUCAUCUAAUCAUGUGUCUGUCACGGUACGGAUUCGGUCCUAGUACAUUAAAAUCUUUCAAUCCUUUAUGGGUGGACUUUACAUGGAAAAAAAAUCGUAAAAAAAAAAGAAGCAAAAUGAGGUUGUUAAAGGAUAAAGUUUGGUAAGGGCCAUAUUUGGCCCCGAUUAUAAAGUUCAAUUUAACAAGAUGAAAAAUGUUUAAGUUGACUUUCAGACAUGUGAGAAAGUUCAAUAGAAAUAUUGUUGUCAAAGUUCUAUUCUAUAGUUGAUUUUUACAUACCAUCAUAGUUCAAGUUAAGAGAUUUUGGCAAAAUUUUACAAAGUCGACCAAAUUUCAACCAAAUAUAGGACCAGGAAGCGGAAACACGGAGCACAGGCGUCGACAAACUAAAUAUUCAUGGUAGACAUGUAAAAUGUCUUUAUAAACAUUAUUUUAACAGAUCUUUGUUGUCGACGUAUGCGCUCUAUGUUUCCUUCCAAUAAUCGAUGGAAAUUUACACAUUUUCAUUGACUUUAUCGUGGAAAAUCUAAGAUAUUAUAAAGUACUAUUUGUUAAAAAACAAGUAUUUAAAAGAAUAUCAAGUAUGUCCAAAUGACUUAAAGAGAGAAAACGGACCAGUUUUGCCCUCAGUGUUAAAGGUUUUUUUUUAAAUCUCAGAAAGGUUCAAAAAUAUGUAUAAUAUUUUGAAUGGUAAAAAGUCAAAUCCUAAACAAAAAUGUGAACAAAAAUGGUCAUUAAUUCUCAAUGCAAAUUUCAAUUGGAAAAAUAUCCAUGAAUUGCCCUUUUAUAUAACAAAAAAUUCAAAAUUGCAGUGGUUUCAAUAAAGAAUAAUACAUCGAAUCUUAGGCACGAAUAAACUUCUCCUUAAAAUAAAAAUUAAAGAUACAAAUAUUUGUAGUUUUGGGUGCGGCGGGGUUGAAACAAUAGAACAUAUAUUCUGGACGUGUCCAUAUAUAUUUAAACUAUGGGAAGACCUUAACUCCUGGAUAUUUGAGAAGACAGAAAUAGAACUAACUUUAAAUAUUGAUUUGGUUUUAUUUGGUAUUAUAACAAAAACAGAUAAAAAUGAUAUAAGAAACUUAAUACUUCUGUUAACACAAUUCUACAUUUAUAGAGGCAAACUAUCUAUGGAACAAACCAAUAUAAUAGCACUAAAAAAUUAUGUAAAAGAAAACUUAUUAAUAGAAAAAAAUAUAUUCUAUAAAAAUAAAUUACUCAGUAGGGCAGAAACUGCUGGAACCCCUGGACUCCUUUACUUUCAUAAAAACAAAAAAAACAAAAAAACAAAUAGACUCCACAUAUAAUGUAAUAUGUUGUUGUACAAGUUGUAAUGUUGUACAAAUUAUAAUUUGUACAAAAAUUUUGUACAAGUUAUCAGUGUUUUAUGACCUGCUGAACAUAAAUGGAUGAUGCAAGCACACAGUCUUUUGCUACGCAUAUUUCUGUCAAUUUUUCACAACUUCAUGAUACAGUCUAAUACUGAGCAUUGAUACAAAAACAUUAUGAGAUCUCACAAAGAUUUUGUAUAGAUAUGAAUAUGGUAUAAGGAACAAAAUAAAAUUAGAAUUUAAACCAUUCCGGGUCCCUCAUUUCCAGUUUGAAGGCAAGGAGAAUAGCACUAAAUGUUAGGUUGACGUAUAUUUUUUUGAAUUUAAAACAUUACACUGGUACAUUUCAUAAGUUAAACCUGUAUCACCUGUUGAAAGAAGGUAGGUGUCAAAAUCUUAUAACUUGUACAAAAACCCUGUACAAAUUAUAAUUUGUACAAACUUACAUCUUGUACACAACAUAUAUAUAUUUCAUAUCCAAACAACCUAUGUCUUAAACUCAUUUUUCUGCAAUGUAUCAAACAGCUGUGUCUAUCAAAUAUAUUAUAUAUCUUCUGUUUAGUGUAUAUAACUAUUAUGCAUACAAGUGUAUAUAACUCAUUAUGUUCAUGUGCAAAUAAGAAAAAAAUGAAAUUUAAUAUAAAAAACUUUAUAUAUAUAUCUUUUCAAAACCUGUGCAUUUGUUAUACUUGAUUAUUAUUGUAGGUAUAUUACUAACAAAAACUAACAACUGUAUGAAUAUGUUUUCUUACUAAUAUUAACGAGGCCGGGAUAAGGUACCGGUACUUGAUGUUUUAAACUAACAUAUGUACAGAUUUCAAUAAAAUAUGAUAAAUUUAAAAAAAAAAAAAAAAAUUAAAAAAAAAAAGUACUAAUUGUGACGUCAUAAAUGAAAAGCAGGAACGUAAAUUUUCAACAAAAGGGCUUAUUUCCUAUCUAGUCACUGUAUUAGCUAUGAUUCAUUGUGAUAUUGGUCAAUGAAUCCUAAUUUGAAAUUUAAGCUAAAAAAGGGGGCCAUUUUAGGACCUUACCGAACCUACUCCUUUGAUGUAUGCCUUUUUGUGCUUCUUUGUUACAUUUGUUUGUUUUUAUAGUGAUUAAGAUGAUAACGCAAUGUUGACUGCUAUACCCCUACUUUUGACAUUUUUACCGAUUGUGUCUGUUUGUUUUGUCCACGAAUCGUUGUCAAUAUGAUGGAAUUUGAUGCGACUGUCAUACAAGUGAGAGGUUUAGCUAGCUAUAAAACCAGGUUCAAUCUACCAUUUUCUACAGAAGAAAAUGCCUGUUCCAAGUUAGGAAUAUGACAGUUUUAAUCCAUUCGUUUGAUGUGUUUGAGGUUUUGAUUUUGUCAUUUGAUUAGGACUUUCCUAUUUGAAUUUUCCUUGGAGUUCAGUAUUUUUGUGAUUAUACUUUUUGAUAAUUAUCUGUAAAACAAUGUACAAGUUAGAGCAAUAAUAAUGCAAUUUUCCAAAUAAUCAAUAUUUCUAAAUUUCAAUUGAAGGUACAAAAAUACGAUAUGUAAAUCUUACACUCAACGGAGAAGUAAAGUAUGCAUGAAUGCAAUAUAAAACUAGUAUCUCAAUUGUUUGUAAAACAAUUGAAAGGUCUUUCCUGUAAAAGUGAUGUUUUCGUAAUGUUCUUUGUACGACCUUUCGUUUGAUAUACGACAAGCAUACCUUCUGAAACUUUUCGCUUUUUACACUUAAUGACCUCAUCCGCCUACAUUUUUGAGAUCGGAAGUAUGAUAUAUGUAACACAGGGUAGAUGAGCUUUCAUUUGAUAUGCGACAACGCCAUGUUCUAAAAAGUUUGAUUUUUGCACUUAAUAACCCCAUCCAACCAAUUUUUGGAGGUUGGGAAUUUGAUAUUUCAAAUGUACACAUCAUGACCUUUCAUUUGAUAUACAACAACCCUAUCGUAAAAGAAAUUUAUUUUUUGCACUCAAUGACCCCAUCCAACCAAUUUUUUGGGGACGUCAAUUUGAAAUUUGAAAUGUACGCUUUAUGUUCUUUCAUUUGAUAUGCGACAACCUUACCAUCUGAGAAAUUUGAAUUUUUGCACUAAAUGACCCCACCCUUCCACCUGGGAUGAAAAAGAGGUUUAAAAUUUUCAUUUUUAAGUAGAGUUUAUUGAGACCUUCAAUUUGAUAUAUCAGAUGACCCCAUUUGACAAAGUGCCAAAAAUGAUGCAAUAUCAACGAUAUAAAUAGAAGUUAUGAAACUUACAAAGUCAAUGCAAAACAUGAAAAUUUCAAAAUGAUUUUUUUGGUGUUUUUUUUCAAUGGAAUGUUUUUGGUAUUUGGUCAAACAUAUAACUAUGUUAACCUCUUCAAUUUCCUAAACAUUUUAAGUGGUAAGCUGUUGUUGAUUCAGAAAUACAUGCCGCCGCUCGCAAAAUUUCAAACUGCAUUAUCUCUAAAACGACAAUAGAUAUCUCAAAUCUGUUAAAUGGUAAAUGAUCUACAGUUAAAGGACAACAUUAUAGAAAAAGAAUUGGGACAAUUUCAAAGUUCACCAAGGUCACAAUUAAUCAUCAAAUAUAUGAUGCAAUACCAAACUUGAGAACCGGAAGUCGUAGAGACAUGGGACUACCACCAUUCAACUCAGGACCACUUGACCUUUCAAAUAUCACAAGGUCAAGGUCAUAGUAUAACUGUGAAGGUCAAGGUGAAAUUUCAUCAUGACCUGACAUUGACCUCAAAUUGACGGUCUUGAAUUACUGAUCAUCUUUGCAGUUUAUAGUAGGUUGAUAUCUGUUACCUUUAAAAAGAUAUACACACAAUACUAUACUUUUAAGAAUCAUCCCGUUGUAACUUUUGAACAGACAGUCGGACAUUUUUGGACUUAUCAUAUAAAAUGUAGAGCUCGUCGAGAGGAACAUUUUAUACGCUGUAUGUAUGCAGCAAAGUCUUAUCGUUUUCCUAAUAUGUAAGCUUGAAAUUGCAGCGUAAAUUUUUUUUGCACUCAGUGACCUUUGACCUUGACUGCAUAUUAAAGGUCACAUGAAUUAAAGAUUAUUGGUGAAGGUCCCAAGUCUCUACGACUUCUGGUUCUCGAAAUACAAUUUUUCUAAAAUUAUGUACAAUUUUUCAAGGGGAAUAACUCCUUAUAAGGGUUAAUAACAAAAUGAUUGUACAUGUUCAUUAACAUUGCCAUCUGUUCCUGUACAUGUUGCCGUUUUCAAAUCGAUUCUAUCUUUUAUACUUUUUGAGAAAAAUGCAAAGGAAAAUAAAUUGUUUCAAGGGGAUAUAACUCUCAUAGGGGACGAUGAAAUCCUAUUCAGCCUCACAUGGUAAUACAUCAUGAUGAGAUCUACAUUAUGUCCAAUUAAGGUCAUGAUAUCUUUAAAACCAACGAGGGGGAGGGGGCCAUGUUGAAAAAACUCAAUAAAAGAGAGAUAACUCCUAAAGGGGAUGAUGAAAUCCUUAACAGGGUCAUUUGGUAAUACAUCUUGGUGAGGUCUAGCGAUGGUCCAUAUUUGGUC
Molecule: long non-coding RNA, 8001 nt
Filed under: Mytilus galloprovincialis (Mediterranean mussel)
Lineage: Eukaryota; Metazoa; Mollusca; Bivalvia; Mytilida; Mytilidae
Source: RNAcentral